This 336-nucleotide long non-coding RNA is filed under the name Malus domestica (apple). Its description in RNAcentral is "long non-coding RNA (MDOM_LNC009274)". Lineage: Eukaryota; Viridiplantae; Streptophyta; Magnoliopsida; Rosales; Rosaceae. The record is from RNAcentral.
GGAAUCAGAGAAAUCAACGGGGACCACGGUGUGGUCGGAGCUGAGGAGGUCCUUGCUGGUGACAUCUAGGGUUUGGUCGGAGUGGCACUUGGCGCGGAGGUGAAACUCGACGGAGCAGAACUCGCACUGUCCGUCACCGUCGCAGGCGUCGCAGUCACGUGAGAAGCGCAUGCUCAUGGCCCGGUCGGAGGUGAGGGGGAUGAGACCGAGUCGGUGGGCGAUGAACUCGUCGUUGAGGACGGAGGAGUUGAUCUCGAUCUCGACAAGAUCGAUGGCGACAGUGGGGACCUCGGCGAUCAUCACGCGCCGGAGCGCGUUGGCGACGCUGGCGUCGGU